GGAACCAAAAUUGCCAGCUACUUGGGGAAUAAAUAUAAAGUAACACCACUUCCUUCCUCCCCUUCCCCCAAAUUGGCCUGUUAACAAAUGGAGUCAGUUCUGAUUGGACUAAAAGGGUCAGUGUCAUGGACUCCAAGUCUGUCUGUCUAUUAUCUUCACAAAAGCUCUACGUGAUAUUCUGAUAUCAGAGUAGUUUCCAUAUCAGAGGACAACAGAAUUAUAAGAUUUUGAGCUUAGGAUCCUUAAGAUCAUCUAGGUUCUGAGUCUGGAGUCCAUGGACUUCCAUGUCUGUGAAGAUGAAUGGGAAAAAAAUUACAUCUUUAUUUUCAUGAGGCUAUAAUUGAAAUCUAGCAUUUUCUUGAAUUAUUUAAAUAUAUUAUCCUGAGAAGGGGUUUAUUCUCCAGAUUGUUAAAGGGUCCCAAGAUCCAAAAAAAAAGUUAAGAUUCUCUUGGUCUAAUCCAACUUCUUCAUUUUAUGGGUAAAGAAUUUGAGGACAAAAGUGAAGAAGUGAUUUAUUGUUAAAGGGUCCCAAGAUCCAAAAAAAAAAUUAAGAUCCCCUUGAUCUAAUCCAACUUCUUCAUUUUAUGGAAUAAGAAUUUGAGGACAAAAGUGUAGAAAUGAUUUGUUCAAGUCAUUCAGCUAAUAAGUCAAAGUGGAAUGGGGGCAAGGUAUGAAGAGAGAGUUUGGAGAGCAUGCUACCUGUCAUCCCAGAGGGAAGGAGCAUGAAUAGGGGAUAAGAAGACAACAGAGACCCUCUAGCCUUCUUAGAGUCUGGGACAAACUGGGAAUUCAGAUGGCCAACCUGGAUACUUCAAGUUCACAGACCCCAGUUUUGGAAUCCCCAUUCUAGGGAGGCAUUUGAAACCAGGAUAAUGGACUACUUUAGGACAUCUUGUCCUCUAGAAGAAGAUUGAAUGAAGAAGAUGAGAGAACUGAGACUUAGAGUGAUUAGAAUUAAGAACAGAACUAAAAGAUAUAGAGAGCAGCUAGAUGGCUCAGCAGAUUGA
RNAcentral lists this long non-coding RNA (1007 nucleotides) under Monodelphis domestica (gray short-tailed opossum). RNAcentral describes it as "lncRNA (ENSMODG00000046620.1)". Lineage: Eukaryota; Metazoa; Chordata; Mammalia; Didelphimorphia; Didelphidae. The record is from RNAcentral.